RNAcentral lists this small RNA (561 nucleotides) under Pan troglodytes (chimpanzee). Its description in RNAcentral is "processed transcript". The record is from RNAcentral. Lineage: Eukaryota; Metazoa; Chordata; Mammalia; Primates; Hominidae.
AGGAUGCUUUUGGAGCUGGGAGGGCUUUCCUCCUGAGCCUCCUCCAACCCACAAAGGAGUCAUGGCCGGCUUCAACAUGGGGGGCGACCUCAGGGAGCCUGCCGCCAGCAUUCCCCUGGGCUCCCUGGCAGCUGUUGGCAUCUCGUGGUUUCUGUACAUCGUCUUCGUCUUCCUCCUGGGCGCCAUCUGCACUCGAGAGGCCCUUCGCUAUGACUUCCUCAUAGCGGAAAAGGUAUCCCUCGUGGGCUUCCUGUUCCUUUUGGGCUUAUACAUCUCGUCCCUGGCUUCCUGUAUGGGAGGACUUUAUGGAGCUCCCCGCAUCCUGCAGUGCAUUGCCCAGGAGAAAGUGAUCCCUGCACUUGCCUGUCUGGGACAAGGGAAGGGGCCAAACAAAACACCCGUGGCUGCCAUCUGCCUGACCAGCUUGGUGACCAUGGCCUUUGUUUUUGUGGGUCAAGUGAACGUUCUGGCCCCCAUCGUCACCAUCAACUUCAUGCUGACAUACAUCGCAGUGGACUACUCUUACUUCUCCCUGUCCAUGUGUUCCUGCAGCCUGACCCC